Pelobates cultripes (western spadefoot toad) is the source of this 337-nucleotide non-coding RNA. NCBI's taxonomy places the organism in Eukaryota, Metazoa, Chordata, Amphibia, Anura, Pelobatidae. The record is from the annotation of a GenBank genome assembly.
CAGCCUUGCUCACAUUAACCUCUCCUAAUCUCGUCGCUCUCACCCCCUCCAUCCAUACCACAAUUACCGGCCCUCGCUCUUCCAGACUCACCCUAUCACAUUAAUCCCCCUAAUCCUAUCACACUCAUCUUCAACCCUAUCACACUCAUGCUUUUUCACAUUAACCCUUUCACUCGUGCCCAACCAUGCCAUACUCACCCUGUCACAUAAUCCUGUCCGGCUCACUUUCCCUCGCCUUGUCCAACUCAUCCCCCUUCACCCUAUCACAUUAACUUCUCCUAUCCUGUCACUCAUCCUGCCUAGACAUGCCACACUCACCCUGUCACAUAACCCUCCC